This is a non-coding RNA of Triticum urartu, 3295 nucleotides long. The record is from RefSeq and is a predicted model, not a curated record. Lineage: Eukaryota; Viridiplantae; Streptophyta; Magnoliopsida; Poales; Poaceae.
AAUUUACUUUUCAUGGGACUCAAAUAUCUUAGAAAGAAUAUUUUCUUUUGUUGUGGUGAAAUCAAAUAAAAUUAGAUACAAAUUUUAAUCACAAAGAAUUUGAGGUAAUAUGGCAUGCCACAAUUCUGUGCAUGUUGUUUUCUAUAAUUUAUAAAAGUGUGUCAUUAUAAUUUUAUUACUCUUGAGAGUCAAAAUACCAUAAUCAUUUCUAUAUAGACUCAACUCAGUCUGAGUAAUAUGCAAAGAAAAAGGAAACUCUACCGACCGAAUGUUCUCUCGGGAUCUUUCGGCGCCACGUAAUGUCCACUGCUCGAUUCUGAGAGCGGCAGAAAACCUACACGCCAAAUGAAAACGGCCUGCAAUGCACUUGAGGUAUCGCGGUAAACUUAGUCGGGCUUAUCAGAUCCCAAAUAGAAAACUCAAUUUGACCUCAUGAAAAUUGCAUUCAUACUGUGCUAUUUUCGCAUGGAUGUUUUUUUUCUAAAUGCCAAGGGCAUGAUUCUCAUACACCUAUUUACUAUUGACACCCAAUCCGAUUUGUAUGAGGAAAAACCAUCAUUUUUUUAAAUGAGACUACCCUUCAUUAGCACGUACGUGUAGACACGGAUUUUUUUCAGAAUUGUGUAGAGAUGGAUAUGCGGUGCCCCCGAGCCAGACUCAACGUGCUACCCUUCCCAGCCAAAAAAAAAAAGAAAAUCCAAAUUCUUGUUCUCCUCCCGUUCCUUUUUCACUGUUCCUUGCCUGAUCCAUAGAUUCAUCCACAUUUGUUGCUAGAUCCUGCCAAGGGAAGAGGACAGGGUGAGAAGGGGGAUUUGCGGCGGAGUGCGGCGGCUGCAUGCUCUCGGCGACGGCAGGUCCUGCAGCUCGACCACACGUGCCUGCUGCUCGCCGCCGCCGUCAGUUGGAUGGCCGUGGAGUUCGGCCCCUUUGAACCUGAGCGGUUCCUCUCCUCCAGAGAGUCCACGGGUGGAGGCAUGUUGUGGGCUUGCUACUUCUGUCAGCUUCCACCUAUGUAAUGUGCUACAACUUUGCAUCAUUACUACUUGCUGCACACCGGCUGAUUCGUCACAGGUAUGCUUCCUCCCUGUAGUUUGAUAAAAAGGUGUAUUCUUUCUAUUUGUUGUUACCAUAUAGUAUUAGCAAGUUAUAUUAUUGAUAUGUGUUUUUAAGACAAAAGAAAAAGGCUUGCAUUUAUUAACUGAAUUUGGUCCAUAUGUGUUAAUUGAUAUGCAAUAGAGUUUUCGCAUGUGUUGUAGGUGAUGCAUAUAACACUGGAGCUUUUUUCAUUGUUCUCCUCAACUGAAAAGGCUAGACAGAAGAGCCGUUACCAAGAACAUAAAACUCACUAAAGUGCAUGUUUGAAUUUAGUAGAUCUUCCAUAGUAACCAUGAAUGUAAUUAGAAAAUGCAUGCAGGGAUUAAAUACGCAAAUUGUACAUUGACGACCUAUGGAAAAUAUCUGAACCCGAAUGGAUGAACUGAUGAUUUAGAACAACUCUUACUAACCUUUCAAAUUUCAGAAUUUACGGGAAUCACUUGUCGCAUAUGUCAUCUUCUACAAAAAUACUCUGCCGACAACAAAAUAGCUAUUGUUACUUUAGGACUACAAAAUAAUCUAUUAGACUCAUUUUACAGCGAUAAGAAAUAUCAUAUAGCAUGUUGUACAUGAAAAAAAUUGUGCAAUAGAAUUGUAGCGUUGCCUUUCACUUAUAUUAGACACUCAAAAACUAUAGUUAGUGUCAUAGAAACAUAGACUGAUUGGAACAUAUCUAGUAGAAUAUAGCCUUCAGGUGCAGAACUGAAACAACAUGCAACAGUACGAUUGUCUCUGACCACCCAGAUAAAUGUAUAAUAGUCCUUCCAUAGUAACCAUGAAUGUAAUUAGAAUUAUUUAAAAAAAUGAAUGUAAUUAGAAAAUGCAUGCAGGGAUCAAAUAUGCAAAUUGUACAUUGGUAACCUAUGGAAAAUAUCUUAACUCAAAUGGGUGAAUUGAUUACUGAGAUCAACUCUUACUAACCAUUCAAAUUUCAGAAUUAAUGGAAAUCACUUGAAUUUAUAAGGAUUCACACACAUAUCAUCUUCUAGGAAAAAUCUGCACACAAUACAAUACUAUUGUUACUUAAUGACUACAAAAAUAAUCUAUUAUGCUCAUUUUUCAACAAUAAGAGUUGCAUAUAGCAUCUUGUAUAUCAUAAAAAUUCUGCAAACAAUAGUAGCUGUUGUUACUAACACAUUGUAUAAUAUGUAAUCUGUUAUAUCCUGAAUUCAGGACCUUUACGCAUUAGUCCUAAGGAUAGCAGUUAGCUUGUAUACAUAAAUUUACCCUUUUUCAAACUGUAAAUCUAAUAUGCACAAUGAUCUGAAAAAAAUACCAUUGGAUUUGGAUAUACAUGUCUUUAUACAUUUUGUCAAACACUUGGCAAACAUGUCCAAAUUCUAACUAACUGUUAGACAGAGGAGGGCUAGGAGUUGAUUAAAUCUAGAAAGAGGAUAGGGCCAUGUUUCAAACAAUUCUGUUAUUACGCCAAGUAAUACCUGCAUCUAGGGUCGAUUUGGUUCUCUUUAUGCCACUUGUAAGUCACAUCCUUGGUGGUCAUCUUACUAUGCUUGUAGACCAUGCUGAUCUAUCCUCUUGCAGACAGUCCUACAUGCCUUGAUCGACUUGUAUAUGACACAACUCCAAGAUAGCACGAUAGCAUUCUUCUUGCUUUGCGACAUGAUUCUUGUCAAGUGUUUCCUAUGGACAGGAACAUGAUGAUGAGACGCGACUGGUUGCUGCUCGGGAGGCGGAAUCUUCAACACCUAACCGAUUGAGGAGAAGAUCUUGUGGAGAGUGGACACAGAAGGCAUGGCUUCGAGGUUUCAGUGGCGCUGUAGGAUGUGAGCUGCAGCCACACAUGAUAGGAUGAAUAGUGCGGCCUUAGAGUAGACCAUCAGAAACCCUAGAACUGGGCUGCUCGAGAGGCAUAGUUUUGGGGUUUCGGUGGAUCUAUAGGAGGUGAGCUGCAGUUGCACAGGAGGAAUAGCUCGGCCCUAGGGCAGACCAUCAGAAACCCUAAAACCUGGACUGCUCUAGAGGCAUAUGGCUUUGAGGUUUCGGUAGAGCUGUAGGACGUGAAUCAGAAUCAGCUUCUAGAGCGUACAUCUCUUUUGUAUGCAACGUGUCAGGAUUUUUUUUUACCAUAUUGAUGCCCGUACGUGAACCUUUUUUUGAAGUGGCAUGUACGUCAACCUAACUCUUCCUACCUUUUUUUACGUGCUGACGCUUCCUUGCCUAGUCGUUUUUUAUGCGCUGA